UACAGAGGUCUCAAGCGUUGUUCGGAUUCAUUGGGCGUAAAGGGUGCGUAGGCGGCGCGGUAAGUCGGGUGUGAAAUCUCGGAGCUUAACUCCGAAACUGCAUUCGAUACUGGCGUGCUUGAGGACUGGAGAGGAGACUGGAAUUUACGGUGUAGCGGUGAAAUGCGCAGAUAUCGUAAGGAAGACCAGUGGCGAAGGCGAGUCUCUGGACAGUUACCGACGCUGAGGCACGAAGGUCAGGGGAGCAAACGGG
This 253-nucleotide ribosomal RNA is filed under the name uncultured bacterium. Its description in RNAcentral is "partial 16S ribosomal RNA". It matches the Rfam family "Bacterial small subunit ribosomal RNA", at positions 524 to 776 of the family's 1533-position model. The record is from RNAcentral.